CGGGGCGUAGCGCAGCCUGGUAGCGUACACGUCUGGGGGGCGUGGGGUCGCAAGUUCAAAUCUUGUCGCCCCGA
Molecule: transfer RNA, 74 nt
Filed under: Bacteroidota bacterium
Lineage: Bacteria; Pseudomonadati; Bacteroidota
Description: tRNA-Pro
Rfam family: tRNA
About the family: Transfer RNA (tRNA) molecules are approximately 80 nucleotides in length.
Source: RNAcentral